Molecule: long non-coding RNA, 278 nt
Organism: Aedes aegypti (yellow fever mosquito)
Lineage: Eukaryota; Metazoa; Arthropoda; Insecta; Diptera; Culicidae
Exons: 2
Source: RefSeq, a predicted model, not a curated record
UCAAACACAAUUUGUUUUUGUUUUCCUCAAAGAAACUUGCACAGUGGGUCCAGAAAAGGAUGGAGAUUUUCGUUGGUUUUCAAUCUGCUUGAUUACAUACAUCACAUACGAUAACAAUUAGUGCUCCGGCUCCAGUUUUGAAGAAUCGGAUGAAACGCUGAAGAAUUUCGGUACUGCGAUAAAAUGCGCCGCGGUCGUGGGGAAAUCAGCUAAAAACUGUCUUAGCAGCAGGAACAAGACCAGACAGCAACUAGACUAUCGGAAGCUACCCCAAAAAU